UACGGGGGGAGCAAGCGUUGUUCGGAUUUACUGGGCGUAAAGGGCGCGUAGGCGGCCACCGCAAGUCGACUGUGAAAUCUCCGGGCUUAACCCGGAAAGGUCAGCCGAUACUGCGGGGCUAGAGUGCAGAAGGGGCAACUGGAAUUCUCGGUGUAGCGGUGAAAUGCGUAGAUAUCGAGAGGAACACCUGCGGCGAAGGCGGGUUGCUGGGCUGACACGUGAGGAGCGAAAGCGUGGGGAGCGAGUCCGG
This 250-nucleotide ribosomal RNA is filed under the name uncultured bacterium. Its description in RNAcentral is "partial 16S ribosomal RNA". It matches the Rfam family "Bacterial small subunit ribosomal RNA", at positions 524 to 777 of the family's 1533-position model. The record is from RNAcentral.